ACAAGAAUUUUAAACCCACAAAAUAGGGAAAAGAAAAAAAACUAGGAGGAAAAUAAGCAACUAAGGGUAAAAAUACAAACCUUAAAAAAAGACAACUAGAAGAUAAAAAUAAGAUAGAAAAUGGUUGAAAAUGUCAAGUAAAGGUAUUUCAGAUAGAAAAUGCAAAAAGCUAAGAUAACUAUUAGAUACAGACAUAUACUUAUUAAAGCAAAAAGAGGGAAUUGGAAAGGGGUAUAUAUCCCCCAAAGAUAAACUUAAAAUAACGCUUUUUACUCUAAACUUUUUAAAUUUGGAUUCAUCAGGACUUAGUGCUGCGGAAAGGCAUAUGUAUCCAAAAAAUGUACAUAAGCCUAAAGUACUUUGGAAAGAUAUUCUAACAGGACAAUGGAAAGGUCCUGACCCAGUGAUUGUCUGGAGUCGGGGGUCUGUUUGUGUUUUUCCACAGGGAGAACAGCAGCCCAUUUGGAUUCCAGAGAGAUUAACUAAAACAGUUUCUACAGAUCGAAAAGAAGAUGAUUUGACUCAAAUCCAUAACAGCUGAUAUCCAGAACUCCAGCUUGGCCAUUCUUACAUCUGCGACAGUGAUUAACCAGGAUGCUUUUUUCAAUAGCUAUUUUAUUAUUGCAUUUUUCCACAUCAUAAGGUUCUAUUUUUAUUUUUUGAGCUCAUACAAACCUAGGUUAAUGUUUUUCUGAUCAGUUUUAUUUUUUGACUGUGGAGUUUUUAAACAUUGCAAUGGAGAUUUCACCUAGGAUAAUGUCUCUUUAGCAUCAUUGCCAGAAUUCCUAUCUCCAUCCCAGUGCCGGUGAAGAACUCAACAAGUAAUGCUCAAUCAAAGAGUCAACUUACUUUGGGAGGAAACGGAUUUGGGGAGGAAAUGGACAUAUUGAUAGAUUCCUCUGCUUUGAACUGCUUGCAGAACUUGCCUGGACUAUGUAACUAUCGUUUGGUGCAGCAAAUUGUGGUAAUGCUGGCAUAUCUUUGCUGAUGGUGUCACUAGUGAUGCAAUUUUUCCCAAGGAGCCGUCAAUUGGCUUGGUGUCGUGGCAUUUCUGUAUCCUCCUCCCUUCUGCUAGUGAUGGUCUAAAAUUUGGGGGCCAAUGGCUUAUGCUGGACCGGUAGUCAGUGACGGGUAUGAUCCAAUUGCAGUGGUAUCAACCUAAGACAGGAGGCUGACGCCUAAAGGUCAGUUUUCCGAUGACGGGUAAGAACCAUAUGUUGAAUUGGACAACCUACCAGGCACGGUCCAUAAGCCACAUUAACCUCACUCCCCCACUGGCACCAAGGCCAAAUUUGGGGGCCAACAGAGGUGAGGCAAAGAACCUCACCCCCCCACUGGUGCAUAGACCUAUCCACAAGUAUGGCUGUAUGCUGGACCGGUAGUCAGUGACGGGUAUGAUCCAAUUGCAGUGGUAUCAACCUAAGACAGGAGGCUGACGCCUAAAGGUCAGUUUUCCGAUGACGGGUAAGAACCAUAUGUUGAAUUGGACAACCUACCAGGCACGGUCCUUAAGCCACAUUGCUUGUUGUUUAAUUAAUCAGAAGGGGGGAGAUGCUGGGAGCCAUUAGCCAAGUAGGUAUGACAAUUUCCUUGCCAGCGUACCCCAUGUUGCAGUGACAUUGAAUGUACGUGACCUUGCUCAAGGACCAAGGCAGAUUAGGGUGUUCCCGGUUUUAAGAUAAUCUUGUUUAGGGCGUUCCCAGUUUAGGUUCCAGGUUUAAGGUUUAAGAUUAUUCCUGCUGGGAAUAGGGCGUAUCCUGCUGCCUGAGUUCCCCUUGAGUUCUCACGGGAUUCAGACAGUAUAUUUUGGAGAUAGAAGCCCAGUGGAUGUGGAUUUGGGCAGAGAACGUGAAUUUGGGAGAGAAGGUGGAUUUGGGAAGAGAACGUGGAUUUCCCCAGAACGUGAUUGUAGACGGCUGGUGUGAGUUCGGGAAUAAAGAGUUGCUGUUUGAAUCUACAA
Molecule: long non-coding RNA, 1960 nt
Organism: Marmota monax (woodchuck)
Lineage: Eukaryota; Metazoa; Chordata; Mammalia; Rodentia; Sciuridae
Exons: 2
Source: RefSeq, a predicted model, not a curated record